Long non-coding RNA from Leopardus geoffroyi (Geoffroy's cat), 3324 nucleotides. RefSeq lists it as uncharacterized. Lineage: Eukaryota; Metazoa; Chordata; Mammalia; Carnivora; Felidae. The transcript is spliced from 5 exons. The record is from RefSeq and is a predicted model, not a curated record.
AUCCUGACUCUGGGGAAGCGCAGACGGGAGAAACCAGCCCCACGCAGACCAGGCCGAGUCCUCAGCCCUGCUGCUCCUGUUCCCCACAGACCAAAUCACCGUUGCCAUAGACGGCGUGGAUCAGUUUCCCGGGGCUGCAGGACGAGAGCACCGAAAACGUGGCCGAAACAACAGAAACAUAGUCUCUGUGUCCUGGAGGCAAGAAGCCCAGAAUCAAGGUGUGAGCAGGGCCACGCUCCCUCUGAAGGCUCUGGGGGCGGGGCGGGGGGAUCUUUCCUCCCCUCUUCCAGCUUCUGGAGGCCCCUGGAUGCCUCAGAGAUCCAUCACUCCUAUCUCUGCCUCUGUGGUCACGUGGCUUCUCCUGGGUGUCUGCGUCCACAUUUCUGUCUCCUUACAAGGACACCUGUCAUUGGAUGAGGACCCACGCUGCUCCAUUGUGACCUGGUUCCAACCCAGUUACAUCAGCCCACACCUAAGAAGGUCACACCCACAGGUACCAGGGGUUAAGACAUCAAUACCUCUUCUGGGGGGCGGGGCACAAUUCUACCCACUACAGAGGCUGUUUUCUUUUUUUUUGAAGUUUAUGUAUUGACUUUGAGAGAGACAAAGAGAGCAUGAGCAGGGGAGGCGCAGAGAGAGAAGGAGAGAGAGAGAAUCCCAAGCAGGCUCCAUGAGCUCCUGAUUAAUUGUUACCAAAUGUCAUCCGUAAAUUUCCCUUCCAUCUAAUAAUCCUCUCGGACGAUCUAACAACAUCCCCGGCGAGCUGGCGAUACCGAGGCUGAGUUUCUGAGACAGGGAGCGGGUGACACCGGUACCUCCAGUGACUGGCGACGGGCGGUGGACAGCGUUCAACGGAGCUGCCAUCUCUGAAAUACAAUUAUCAGUGUGAUCUGCUUAAGGAUUCAUCAUCAGCUCCUGCCUUCUGAAGACUUAAAAAAAUGCCAAGACACACAGAGAGAAAGAGGUGAUAAGAAGGCAUCAUUUUCCUCCAGCCUCAUAACUGUAAAUUGAAGAAAAUUAUUUUCUUUGCCUGCAGCUCAUUGGCAUAUAGGCAGCAUUAUAUUAUAAUUUCAUAAGCAUAAAUCCUUUGAAUAAAUUUCAGAGGAAUAACUGAAUUAGAAAUGCAAGUAAAGUAUCUAAAAAACUUAACUGUAGCAGGCAGGGGAGAGGAGGUGUGAGGGGCACAGGCAAGGAGGAGAGCCCCCUCUGGGCGCCUCCCGUGGGUCCCCAGAGGCCCGGGAAGAGCUUGGUCAGGGAGAGGCCGUUUCUCACCCCCUUCUGUGCCUGAUGGCGAAUAAAAGAAGUUCUUCUCCUCUCCCCUUGCUCGUGUUCCAAGGAAUUUGAGCCGUAAUUCAUCAUAAAUUAAUUUUGGAGAAACAACAGGCUUGGGGCGUGUUAUAAUUAUUGUUAUUUGUUUAUUUAUUAUCGUGUUAACCAUUAUUUAUUAUUGUGUUAAGCAUAUGUGAGAUCACAAAGGUUGCUCCUGCGGUUUCCUAGCAACAAGUCUGUGGGUCCGCCACGCAAGUUUCCCAUCUCGGUGGGGGUGGGAGGCGGAUGCCGGGUCAGGGGCCCGAGGCGUCUGUCCCUUCCUGAGGGCGCCCCUUGGGAUGCACUGUGGAGGAGAAGGGUCGGCCUGGCCCCCUGCUGAUGGCUCACCAGCCGCCCCGCAGAUUAUCUUCAAACAAAGACCACUUGGAGGCCAAACCCUGGCCCCGGGGGCUGGCUCAGCUUGGACAAGGACGUCCUUUCCCAGGCCCAUGUUGGUCCUCAGGGAGGUGGCCACCAGGCCCCCUCCAUGGCCAAGGGACAUGUGGGGGGGAGGAGGCUAAGGGUUGGGAAGAGGAUGGAAAACUUCCUGGGGGCCUCCGCGCCCCCCUGUCGCGGCCUGGGGCAGCCCCGUGCAGCUCCCCACCUCCCCAGGGUGACCGACUGGCUUCAGGAGCCCGUCACCAUGUAUGUAAUGGGAACAGAGGCACAGAGCCCGGAGUUUCAACUGCGUUCACACAGCCUCUCAGGAGCAUGAAUAUCCAUUUGCAAUGUCUGUUCUUGUGUCAGCACAGAAGUGCAGAGAGGGAUUGGUUUCCAUGUUUCCGGCACAGGGACCUUGCCGGGUAAAGGAAACCUUACCUGGGGGCCCACAGAGUGCGAUGCAGGACGGGGGCGCUGAACCAGAGUGACGGGACGGGUCUCCUUUGUCCGGCGUCCUCAGACAGACCCCCACGCCUCCCAUAUGGAUCACUUCCUCUCCUGGUUAAGAAACGCAUAGCAAAGGGGCCCGGUGACGUCAUUACUUUCCCAGUAUGGCGAAGCCACCGCACACAGCGUCCCAGGCAACGCCCCUCCCCCCCAACUGCCCGGUGAAAUCCCCUGGGAGUGGCAUUUUUUUCCCAGUAAGCUUUUAAUUUUAGAAUAAUUGGACUUACAGAAAAAUUACAAAGACAACAUAGUGCCCCCACAUGCCACACACCCAGUUUCCCUCUUAGUAGCCUUGUCUGUUACGAUGGAUUGCGUCCAGGACAGCACAUUGCUUCAGUUAUCAGGUCUCCUUAGGCUCCUCUUGGCUGAGCCUCUCAGGUUUCGCUGAGAUUAAUGACCUUGCCGGUUUUGAGGAAGGUGAGGACACGGCAAGAAGUCAGCAGUCUGCAAACCAGAAGAGGGCCCUCGCUGGACCACGCGGGCACCCUGAUCUUGGAUUUCCAGGCUCCAGGGCUGUGAGGACUCCUUGCUUGCUGUUUACAAGCCAUCAAACUCAUGCAACCACGGCUUCUCAGGAGCAAGCGUCUCGUGCUGGGUCCUUCAGACAUCAUCCGUUCAAGCUCUCUGAACAACCAUACCGCGUAGACAUUGUGAAACCCACAGAGACGAGAAAACAGGCCGAGGGAGGUCAGGUGUCACCGUCCAGGUGGCCCGGCCGACACGCUUCGGAAGGGGGACCUGAGACUCCGGAGGGCGUUGUCUUCUUGAGAGUGUGACACUGGCACAAGCAUCCCAUACACGAGCCUCCAGACCCGGGACGCCGACAGGGAGACACGGGAGCCGUUCUUGCCCGGAGCUGCCAAAGCAAGUGUAAAUGCCCGGGUUCCACCUGCCGGGACACCCGCCACUGAGCACCGAUUCCCUCCGCCAACCUCAGCUCUUCCCAAACCGGAGCCCUCGCGGUCUCCCACACACACCUCUGCUCCUUGCUGUCCCCUCCCUUCUCCCACCUGUUGGGCCCUUCAGGACUCAGUAGAAAUGUCUCUUCCUGGGAAGCCUUCCUGAGUUUUGCUCCCUACACAUCACACUCAGAUGCUCUCGUGGUUUUCUUUCUUUUUUUUUUUAAGG